UGCAAGUAGAACGCUGAAGAGAGGAGCUUGCUCUUCUUGGAUGAGUUGCGAACGGGUGAGUAACGCGUAGGUAACCUGCCUUGUAGCGGGGGAUAACUAUUGGAAACGAUAGCUAAUACCGCAUAACAAUGGAUGACACAUGUCAUUUAUUUGAAAGGGGCAAUUGCUCCACUACAAGAUGGACCUGCGUUGUAUUAGCUAGUAGGUGAGGUAACGGCUCACCUAGGCGACGAUACAUAGCCGACCUGAGAGGGUGAUCGGCCACACUGGGACUGAGACACGGCCCAGACUCCUACGGGAGGCAGCAGUAGGGAAUCUUCGGCAAUGGGGGCAACCCUGACCGAGCAACGCCGCGUGAGUGAAGAAGGUUAACGGAUCGUAAAGCUCUGUUGUAAGUCAAGAACGAGUGUGAGAGUGGAAAGUUCACACUGUGACGGUAGCUUACCAGAAAGGGACGGCUAACUACGUGCCAGCAGCCGCGGUAAUACGUAGGUCCCGAGCGUUGUCCGGAUUUAUCGGGCGUAAAGCGAGCGCAGGCGGUUUGAUAAGUCUGAAGUUAACGGCCUGUGGCUCAACCAUAGUUCGC
RNAcentral lists this ribosomal RNA (586 nucleotides) under uncultured Bacilli bacterium. RNAcentral's name for it is "bacterial SSU rRNA". It matches the Rfam family "Bacterial small subunit ribosomal RNA", at positions 56 to 624 of the family's 1533-position model. The record is from RNAcentral. Lineage: Bacteria; Bacillati; Bacillota; Bacilli.